GGGGUCAUUGUACAUUGUCUGACUGUGACUAAUCAUAUCACUAUGAGCUUGGAAGACUCAGAUCGGGCACAAAUAGCCCAUAUGAACUUUUGGGAUGGUGAAGGAGAUGUCUCCAAAUCUGCCCAUCUCAUUUCUUUUGAGCUUCUACAGUUCUGCUAUGCCCACACAGCACAAAGCUUCUUUGAUGCAGAAUGCCAUGAUGGACAGAUCUGUUCCAGUGUCUUCCAUGUCCCACAAUCAAUACCAAAGUUCUUCAGAGAGAUUUUUAGAGUGUCUUUGUAUCCCUUUUUCUGGCUUCCAUGUGAGUGCUUGCCUUGGGAGCUUAGGAGAGGAGUCUGCCAUCUUGCCAGGACCUGUUCCUCAAUGUAGUCUCUUAGGCAAAUGUGCAUUGGGCAUUCAGGAAGCUAAGGAUUCUGAGAGGAAAGGAUUGGAGGAAUACAUUACAAACAUGGGGGCAACCUGAAUAAAGACAUGGCGAUUGGAGAUGGAAUGUUCACUCUGGAGAACAACAAAUAGUUCCUUUCAUCUGAAUCAGCCUUCUUGCAUUUAUCAACCAGGGAAAAGAAAGACAACUAUCCCUAACACUCUUCAGUUUCAAAGGAACAAGCAAGAAACAACGAACUCCUCAGCUCCGAGGAGUACUUUGAUCUCCUUGGAAAAUGGGCACCAUGAAAACAAGAUGCUUCCUUUCUUGAGGAUUGUUUUUCUAUGUUCCUAUUUUUCUCCUUUUAAAACAAAGCUCUCAUCAGAAAAUGAGUAA
This 760-nucleotide long non-coding RNA is filed under the name Monodelphis domestica (gray short-tailed opossum). RNAcentral describes it as "lncRNA (ENSMODG00000045314.1)". Lineage: Eukaryota; Metazoa; Chordata; Mammalia; Didelphimorphia; Didelphidae. The record is from RNAcentral.